GACGGACCACCCAAACGUUAUUCGGAAUCACUGGGCUUAAAGGGUGCGUAGGCGGUGUAGUAAGUCGGGUGUGAAAUCCCCCAGCUUAACUGAGGAAUUGCGCCCGAAACUGCUGCGCUCGAGGGAGACAGAGGUGAGCGGAACUGAUGGUGGAGCGGUGAAAUGCGUUGAUAUCAUCAGGAACACCGGUGGCGAAAGCGGCUCACUGGGUCUCUUCUGACGCUCAGGCACGAAAGCUAGGGGAGCAAACGGGAUUAGAUACCCCGGUAGUCCUAGCCGUAAACGAUGAGCACUUGAUCGGAGACUCCCUCAUAGGUUUCUGGUCGUAGCGAAAGUGUUAAGUGCUCCGCCUGGGGAGUAUGGUCGCAAGGCUGAA
This 376-nucleotide ribosomal RNA is filed under the name uncultured bacterium. Its description in RNAcentral is "bacterial SSU rRNA". It matches the Rfam family "Bacterial small subunit ribosomal RNA", at positions 524 to 898 of the family's 1533-position model. The record is from RNAcentral.